GUGAGGAAUAUUGCGCAAUGGGCGAAAGCCUGACGCAGCGACGCCGCGUGAGGGACGACGGCCUUCGGGUUGUAAACCUCUGUCAGCAGGGAAGAGAACGGACGGUACCUGCUGAGGAAGCAUCGGCUUACUACGUGCCAGCAGCCGCGGUAAUACGUAGGAUGCGAGAGUUGUCCGGAUUUACUGUGCGUAAAGAGCUCGUAGGCGGGAACAUACGUCUGGAAUAAAAUCACACGGCUCAACUGUGGGUCCUUUCCAGAUACGGUGGUUCUUGAGGGCAGAAGAGGAGAAUAGAAUUCCCAGUGUAGCGGUGAAAUGCGUAGAUAUUGGGAAGAAUACCAGUGGCGAAGGCGAUUCUCUGGUCUGUCUCUGACGCUGAGGAGCGAAAGCGUGGGUAGCGAACGGGAUUAGAUACCCGAGUAGUCC
RNAcentral lists this ribosomal RNA (426 nucleotides) under uncultured bacterium. RNAcentral describes it as "partial 16S ribosomal RNA". It matches the Rfam family "Bacterial small subunit ribosomal RNA", at positions 354 to 796 of the family's 1533-position model. The record is from RNAcentral.